Molecule: ribosomal RNA, 270 nt
Filed under: uncultured archaeon
Lineage: Archaea
Description: partial 16S ribosomal RNA
Rfam family: Archaeal small subunit ribosomal RNA
Source: RNAcentral
CAGCACCUCAAGUGGUCAGGAUGAUUAUUGGGCCUAAAGCAUCCGUAGCCGGCGCUGUAAGUUUUCGGUUAAAUCCGUACGCUCAACGUACAGGCUGCCGGGAAUACUGCAGAGCUAGGGAGUGGGAGAGGUAGACGGUACUCGGUAGGAAGGGGUAAAAUCCUUUGAUCUAUUGAUGACCACCUGUGGCGAAGGCGGUCUACCAGAACACGUCCGACGGUGAGGGAUGAAAGCUGGGGGAGCAAACCGGAUUAGAUACCCGUGUAGUCC